Molecule: unclassified non-coding RNA, 1162 nt
Filed under: Zea mays
Lineage: Eukaryota; Viridiplantae; Streptophyta; Magnoliopsida; Poales; Poaceae
Description: misc RNA Zm00001eb025940
Source: RNAcentral
GUCUGGUGCGCCGUGCUCCAGCCGAGAGGCCACCAGAUCCGACCGCCGCCGACGCGAGUGUGCGGGCGCAGCCGCCGCGGGCCAGCCACGCCGGGCGAAGAGCGGAUCUAGCCACCCAGCACAGCGGAUCUAGCCACCCAGCACACCGAUCCAGCCUUCCCAACGGCUUACAGGCCAGGAGGGAGGAGUGGAGGGGAUGGAAGAAGGGAGCAGGAGACGGGAAGGGGAGGGAAAUGAGGGAAAAAACGGUCCCGCCGCUGUCCUCCUCGCUGCUCGCCGGACUUUCGGCGAGCUGCUCCGGCGACGGCGAAGUGAAGACCUGUGCGGCGGGUGGAGUUGAGUGGGAUCGAUGGAGGAGCCGCCCGUGUCGCCCAGAGGAGGACGACGCGGUGGCGUUCUUUCUUCCUGUGGACAAAAUCAAACACAGUCAGAUGCAAAAGAGAACAGAAACAGUAGAGGGUCAUGGAGGACGUGUCUCAUUCAUCGAGGGUGAAUGCAGGGUGAGUCCUGGCGAUGGCGGCUCAGCUAAUGCGAAGGAUUCCUCGGCCCCCGCACGGUCUCCACGUUUGCAGACAGCACGCACAGCUACUACGCACGAUUGCGGUUGAAGCAAAACGGCGGCUCCAACGAGCGGGAUCCAAACGACGGUGACUGACACUCACACGUGCGCAAGCAGAGGCGGAGAGUCCGGCGGUGUGGGGUCAGCUUGGCCAUGGCCUAAAUGGAAUCCCUAUAGAGCAGAGUCGUGGGAGAACACGACUAGGAAGAAGGAACUGUCACGCGGGGCCCAUGCUACAGGGCAGCGAACAACGCGCGACAUGCGGGUGCCAAUCCGGAAAGAAGACGAUUUUAUGUUUUACGCCAUCGCGCCGGUGCAGGCGUGGAGAUGGGCCGAGCGAAUUCGGCCGGCUGGCGUCCCACUCCCACGCGGGUGAGAAGACCGGGAGAGGCGCUGGGCUGGCAGCCUGGCACUGGGAUUGAGCCCGCGAUCGGCAAAGCCUUUCCUUUUUAUUUUCUUUUUCAUUUCAGUUUUAAAUUUCAGAUUCAAACGAAUUUCAAACAGUUCGAGCUCAAAUUCAAACACAAACAAACAAAACCAAUGCUUUGGCACAUAGUUCACAAUAUAACUUUAUAUUUACCCUAAUAUUUAUUUUUAGCAAAG